CGGGUGAGUAAUGUCUAGGGAAACUGCCUGAGGGAGGGGGAUAACUGCGGGAAACGGUAGCUAAUACCGCAUAACGUCGCAAGACCAAAGAGGGGGACCUUCGGGCCUCUUGCCAUCGGAUGUGCCCAGAUGGGAUUAGCUAGUAGGUGGGGUAACGGCUCACCUAGGCGACGAUCCCUAGCUGGUCUGAGAGGAUGACCAGCCACACUGGAACUGAGACACGGUCCAG
This 229-nucleotide ribosomal RNA is filed under the name uncultured bacterium. RNAcentral's name for it is "partial 16S ribosomal RNA". It matches the Rfam family "Bacterial small subunit ribosomal RNA", at positions 103 to 334 of the family's 1533-position model. The record is from RNAcentral.